This 491-nucleotide ribosomal RNA is filed under the name uncultured bacterium. RNAcentral's name for it is "partial 16S ribosomal RNA". It matches the Rfam family "Bacterial small subunit ribosomal RNA", at positions 29 to 506 of the family's 1533-position model. The record is from RNAcentral.
AGUGAACGCUGGCGGUAGGCCUAACAUAUGCAAGUCGAACGGCAGCACAGUAAGAGCUUGCUCUUACGGGUGGCGAGUGGCGGACGGGUGAGGAAUACAUCGGAAUCUACUUUUUCGUGGGGGAUAACGUAGGGAAACUUACGCUAAUACCGCAUACGACCUACGGGUGAAAGCAGGGGAUCUUCGGACCUUGCGCGAUUGAAUGAGCCGAUGUCGGAUUAGCUAGUUGGCGGGGUAAAGGCCCACCAAGGCGACGAUCCGUAGCUGGUCUGAGAGGAUGAUCAGCCACACUGGAACUGAGACACGGUCCAGACUCCUACGGGAGGCAGCAGUGGGGAAUAUUGGACAAUGGGCGCAAGCCUGAUCCAGCCAUACCGCGUGGGUGAAGAAGGCCUUCGGGUUGUAAAGCCCUUUUGUUGGGAAAGAAAAGCAGCAGGUUAAUACCCCGCUGUUCUGACGGUACCCAAAGAAUAAGCACCGGCUAACUUCGU